CAAGUGUUGGAUCUGUAGUUGGGUCCCAUUACCUAACUGAGCGGACCCGGGUCCCUGAUACGGCAUUGGGGAUGAUAUUGACUGGACGUUCGGAGUAAAAUGGUGAGUUGCUCCAGUAUCUGGGUACCAGGCUGCCAUGUCAUGUUGGUCCAGGUCACUUGUCGAGAAAUAAGAAUCUGCCAUUUGAGUGUUAUUUGUUACGGGCUGCCUAAAAUAAUUGAGACUUUGUUGUUGGACCGGGACUGGAUAGUAUUGGGCUGAAGGGGAAUUAAUGUAUUGGGCCUGGGCCACGUUCAUUUGUGGGUUUGGUUGAUAUGGGGAAUUAAUUUGUGGGUGGUUUUCUUGGGCUUGGGC
Molecule: long non-coding RNA, 354 nt
Filed under: Zostera marina
Lineage: Eukaryota; Viridiplantae; Streptophyta; Magnoliopsida; Alismatales; Zosteraceae
Description: long non-coding RNA (ZMAR_LNC000588)
Source: RNAcentral